Molecule: small nuclear RNA, 113 nt
Organism: Cheilinus undulatus (humphead wrasse)
Lineage: Eukaryota; Metazoa; Chordata; Actinopteri; Labriformes; Labridae
Product: U5 spliceosomal RNA
Exons: 1
Source: RefSeq, a predicted model, not a curated record
UCACUCUUGUUUCUCUACAGAUCUUUUAAAUCUUCCGCCUUUUACUAAAGAUUUCCGUGGAGGAGAACAAUAAGAGUUUUACUCAAAUUCUGAUGCCAAAGAAAUAUGGGGCA